GUGUGUGAGCAGGUCACAGCACGAACACAGUGUUUAUAAGGUGUUUAUUAACUGUUAAUCAUUAGUUAUGUA
Pangasianodon gigas (Mekong giant catfish) is the source of this 72-nucleotide non-coding RNA. NCBI's taxonomy places the organism in Eukaryota, Metazoa, Chordata, Actinopteri, Siluriformes, Pangasiidae. The record is from the annotation of a GenBank genome assembly.